Non-coding RNA from Astyanax mexicanus (Mexican tetra), 488 nucleotides. Lineage: Eukaryota; Metazoa; Chordata; Actinopteri; Characiformes; Acestrorhamphidae. The record is from the annotation of a RefSeq genome assembly.
GGUGUUGAGUGAGUGGGUGGAGCUGAGUGUGUAGUAGAGAGGAUAGUAGAGAGGAGAGCUGAAACUCAGUGUGUUCUUCUCCCAGUGUGUGCUACACCACCAUGAUCAUUUUCACUGUACUGCUGCUCUCUGCUCUUACAGGUAACAGAGCUGAAGACGUCAUCACUCCUAGCAGAGAUGCUGUUUUUGCUGUUGAAGGUCAGAAUGUUUCCCUCUCCUGUAACUACACUGUAAGUGCUGAUAGUCUUCACUGGUAUCGACAGUAUUCAGGCUCUCCUCCCCAGUUCCUCAUACUGGAUUAUUCAGGGACCACUAUUAAUGCUCAACCUCCAGUUCCUGGAAUAUUCAUCAUCCAUCACAAAGGAAUAAAAAAAGUGGAUCUGGAGAUCUCCUCUACUGCAGUAUCAGACUCUGCUCUCUACUACUGUGCUCUGAGGCCCACAGUGACAGGAAACCCACCAAACACUGUACUAAAACCUUUCUUGUGA